UACGUAGGGGGCAAGCGUUAUCCGGAUUUACUGGGUGUAAAGGGGGCGCAGACGGCGAUGCAAGCCAGGAGUGAAAGCCCGGGGCCCAACCCCGGGACUGCUCUUGGAACUGCGUGGCUUGAGUGCAGGAGAGGCAGGCGGAAUUCCUGGUGUAGCGGUGAAAUGCGUAGAUAUCAGGAGGAACACCGGUGGCGAAGGCGGCCUGCUGGACUGCAACUGACGUUGAGGCCCGAAAGCGUGGGGAGCAAACAGG
Molecule: ribosomal RNA, 253 nt
Filed under: uncultured bacterium
Lineage: Bacteria
Description: partial 16S ribosomal RNA
Rfam family: Bacterial small subunit ribosomal RNA
Source: RNAcentral